GNCCUCAGAUCGGACGAGAUUACCCGCUGAAUUUAAGCAUAUAACUAAGCGGAGGAAAAGAAACUAACAACGAUUUCCCUAGUAACGGCGAGUGAAGCGGAAAGAGCCCAGCACCGAAUCCCCCAGUGUAAUGCUGGCGGGAACUGUGGUGUGUGGGACGCCACCAGUCGCGCGUGCGAGCACCGAAGUCCUCCUGAUCGAGGCUUCACCCAGAGCGGGUGUAAGGCCUUUGCUGGUGCUUGCUGCGCGGCCGCGAGCGUCUCAGGAGUCGGGUUGUUUGAGAAUGCAGCCCAAA
This 295-nucleotide ribosomal RNA is filed under the name Aplysia depilans. RNAcentral describes it as "partial 28S ribosomal RNA". It matches the Rfam family "Eukaryotic large subunit ribosomal RNA", at positions 1 to 291 of the family's 3401-position model. Lineage: Eukaryota; Metazoa; Mollusca; Gastropoda; Aplysiida; Aplysiidae. The record is from RNAcentral.